UACGGAGGGUGCAAACGUUGCUCGGAAUCAUUGGGCGUAAAGCGCACGUAGGCGGCCGAUCAAGUCGGGUGUGAAAGCCCUGGGCUCAACCCAGGAAGUGCACUCGAAACUGACCGGCUUGAAUAUGGAAGAGGGUCGCGGAAUUCCCGGUGUAGAGGUGAAAUUCGUAGAUAUCGGGAGGAACACCAGUGGCGAAGGCGGCGACCUGGGCCAAUAUUGACGCUGAGGUGCGAAAGCGUGGGGAGCAAACAGG
RNAcentral lists this ribosomal RNA (253 nucleotides) under uncultured bacterium. RNAcentral describes it as "partial 16S ribosomal RNA". It matches the Rfam family "Bacterial small subunit ribosomal RNA", at positions 524 to 776 of the family's 1533-position model. The record is from RNAcentral.